Molecule: ribosomal RNA, 509 nt
Filed under: uncultured bacterium
Lineage: Bacteria
Description: partial 16S ribosomal RNA
Rfam family: Bacterial small subunit ribosomal RNA
Source: RNAcentral
GACGAACGCUGGCGGCGUGCUUAACACAUGCAAGUCGAACGAAGAGCGACGGAAGCUUGCUUCUAUCAAUCUUAGUGGCGAACGGGUGAGUAACGCGUAAUCAACCUGCCCUCAGAGGGGGACAACAGUUGGAAACGACUGCUAAUACCGCAUACGAUCUAACCUCGGCAUCGAGGAUAGAUGAAAGGUGGCCUCUACAUGUAAGCUAUCACUGAAGGAGGGGAUUGCGUCUGAUUAGCUAGUUGGAGGGGUAACGGCCCACCAAGGCGAUGAUCAGUAGCCGGUCUGAGAGGAUGAACGGCCACAUUGGGACUGAGACACGGCCCAGACUCCUACGGGAGGCAGCAGUGGGGAAUCUUCCGCAAUGGACGAAAGUCUGACGGAGCAACGCCGCGUGAGUGAUGACGGCCUUCGGGUUGUAAAGCUCUGUUAAUCGGGACGAAAGGCCUUCUUGCGAAUAGUGAGAAGGAUUGACGGUACCGGAAUAGAAAGCCACGGCUAACUAUGUG